RNAcentral lists this long non-coding RNA (884 nucleotides) under Monodelphis domestica (gray short-tailed opossum). RNAcentral describes it as "lncRNA (ENSMODG00000046970.1)". Lineage: Eukaryota; Metazoa; Chordata; Mammalia; Didelphimorphia; Didelphidae. The record is from RNAcentral.
UACAAGAAAAAAGGUUUUAAAAAGAGAGUGGCAAGGGCCUGAAGGAGUUCUUCUGGAAGUUCAACUUGGACUUCCACUUCUGCUGGAGUUCUACUGGCAGUUAUACUGGAGUGGAGAAUAAUUCUUCAUUCAGAAGAGUGCUAACUGAAUCUGUUUUUCCUGGUUACCCUGUUCCUUUGAGCUGACAGGUGGGAUAGAAGAUGGGUUUCUCAAAUUAUUUUGGACCAACUCUUUUCACUUGUGUGGGCUAGCUUCCUCGUCUAUAAAACAAGAGGACUAAUCUAUCAAGUUCCUUCUGGCUCAACAUUCCAGAUGCUAAUUAAUAGAUCAAAAAACAGCAACAAGGCCAUCGGAACUCAGGUUUCUUUUGGUGAUCAAAGAUCAAGAAUGAAAGCCUUAUGGAUCAUUAGUACAAUUCUGAAAGCUCAUUAUUUAUUCAGCCAUCCCCUAGAUAUCCUGGCGAAUUCAGUGAGUGCAUCAUUCUCUCAGUCCCUCUCACAUUCCUUGGCUGAUAAAUGGAAAAUCAGAUGCCCCAGUUCUGAUUCCAGAAUCUAGAAAGAGUAAUCUAAGUCCUGACCAGUUAAGAGUGACUUUGUUCAAUACUUUUAAUGUGAGAUUCAAGGAUUCUGACUGACUGCUUGUAGACACACCUGGCCUAAACUGACUUUUAUUUACCGAACAAGAGAGAAACGGUAAUCUCACUUUUCUAUUAACCUACAAUGGACCAUGCUCUAGGGUGGGAACUUUCCUUGAAUUUGCUGGGAACAAAGGAGUGAGUAAAGAGGUCUGAGAGACAAACCCGAGUCUCAGUUCAAAUCUCAGAAAUAGAAAUAUGUCAAUAUGUUAGAAAUAAAUCUUCUGAAUUCUUAAAAUAGAAUAACUGA